This 433-nucleotide ribosomal RNA is filed under the name uncultured bacterium. RNAcentral describes it as "partial 16S ribosomal RNA". It matches the Rfam family "Bacterial small subunit ribosomal RNA", at positions 29 to 507 of the family's 1533-position model. The record is from RNAcentral.
AACGAACGCUGGCGGCAUGCCUAACACAUGCAAGUCGAACGAGACCUUCGGGUCUAGUGGCGCACGGGUGCGUAACGCGUGGGAACCUGCCCUUAGGUUCGGAAUAACUCCCCGAAAGGGGUGCUAAUACCGGAUAAUGUCUUCGGACCAAAGAUUUAUCGCCUUUGGAUGGGCCCGCGUUGGAUUAGCUAGUUGGUAGGGUAAAAGCCUACCAAGGCGACGAUCCAUAGCUGGUCUGAGAGGAUGAUCAGCCACACUGGGACUGAGACACGGCCCAGACUCCUACGGGAGGCAGCAGUGGGGAAUAUUGGACAAUGGGCGAAGGCCUGAUCUAGCAAUGCCGCGUGAGUGAUGAAGGCCUUAGGGUUGUAAAGCUCUUUUACCCGGGAUGAUAAUGACAGUACCGGGAGAAUAAGCUCCGGCUAACUCCGUG